Molecule: long non-coding RNA, 425 nt
Organism: Neofelis nebulosa (Clouded leopard)
Lineage: Eukaryota; Metazoa; Chordata; Mammalia; Carnivora; Felidae
Exons: 2
Source: RefSeq, a predicted model, not a curated record
UUUCAAACUAAUUCCCUGAUUUUGCUCUUCCUCCUCACAGGGCCGGCUUGAGACAGUCUGGCCUGCCAGCCUCCAAUCUCUCUCUCUCCUUUGCUCUAGUCACCGGGUCCCGAAGCUUGGCGGGCAGCACCAGUCCGACGGCUGCUUUGGCCACCAGAUAGAUCAUCUGCAGAGGGAACACCACCAACGCGCCCAGCCAUUUCCACACCAUCCUCCGCGCCGCGGAGACAGGCGGGGGGGGCGAAACUCCCCGGACCGAGCAAAACAGGAAUUAAAAAAGAAAACACCCAAACAAUAAUAAAUAAACCGAAUGAAAGGGGGAGAGAGGCGUCCCACCUGGCCACUGUUGAAAUCACCUCUUCCCAAAAGCAAAGCACCGGGUGAGAAAAAAAAGAAAAAAAGAAAAAAAAAAAAAAAAAGAAAAA